RNAcentral lists this ribosomal RNA (461 nucleotides) under uncultured bacterium. Its description in RNAcentral is "bacterial SSU rRNA". It matches the Rfam family "Bacterial small subunit ribosomal RNA", at positions 917 to 1382 of the family's 1533-position model. The record is from RNAcentral.
GGGCCCGCACAAGCAGUGGAGUAUGUGGUUUAAUUCGAAGCAACGCGAAGAACCUUACCAGGGCUUGACAUCCCUUGACGACGGUAGAGAUACCGUUUCCCUUCGGGGCAAGGAGACAGGUGGUGCAUGGUUGUCGUCAGCUCGUGUCGUGAGAUGUUGGGUUAAGUCCCGCAACGAGCGCAACCCCUACUGCCAGUUGCCAGCAUUUAGUUGGGCACUCUGGCGGGACUGCCGUUGACAAAACGGAGGAAGGUGGGGAUGAUGUCAAAUCAUCAUGCCCCUUAUGUCCUGGGCUACACACGUACUACAAUGGCCGCAACAGAGGGCUGCGACGCCGCGAGGCGAAGCGAAUCCCAAAAAGCGGUCUCAGUUCGAAUUGCAGGCUGAAACCCGCCUGCAUGAAGUCGGAAUUGCUAGUAAUGGCAGGUCAGCAUACUGCCGUGAAUACGUUCCCGGGCCUU